GAGUUGUAAUCUGGAGAAGCGUUUUCCGUGUCGGACCGUGCACAAGUCUCUUGGAACAGAGCGUCAUAGAGGGUGAGAAUCCCGUUUUAUGGCACGGACACCCGAUACUUUGUGAUACGUUUUCUAAGAGUCGAGUUGUUUGGGAAUGCAGCUCAAAAUGGGUGGUAAAUUCCAUCUAAAGCUAAAUAUAGGCGAGAGACCGAUAGCGAACAAGUACCGUGAGGGAAAGAUGAAAAGCACUUUGGAAAGAGAGUUAAACAGUACGUGAAAUUGUUGAAAGGGAAACGCUUGAAGUCAGUCGCGUCUUCUAGGACUCAGCCUUACUUCUGUUAGGUGUACUUCCUAGUUUGACGGGUCAACAUCGAUUUUGAUCGACGGAUAAAGGAGAAGGGAACGUGGCACCUCCGGGUGUGUUAUAGCCCUCUUCGUAUACGUCGAUUGGGAUCGAGGACUGCAGCACGCCCUUGUGGCCGGGGGUUCGCCCUACGAAACGUGCUUAGGAUGUUGACAUAAUGGCUUUAAGCGACCCGUCUUGAAACACGGACCAAGGAGUCUAACAUGCUCGCGAGUGUUAGGGUGGAAAACCCUUGCGCGUAAUGAAAGUGAAAGUUGGGACCUCUGCGAGGAGGGCACCGACGCCCGGCCCUGAAGUUCUCUGACGGUGCUGCGGUAGAGCGCGUAUGUUGGGACCCGAAAGAUGGUGAACUAUGCCUGAAUAGGGCGAAGCCAGAGGAAACUC
Molecule: ribosomal RNA, 739 nt
Filed under: Trichaptum abietinum
Lineage: Eukaryota; Fungi; Basidiomycota; Agaricomycetes; Hymenochaetales; Trichaptaceae
Description: Hirschioporus abietinus partial large subunit ribosomal RNA
Rfam family: Eukaryotic large subunit ribosomal RNA
Source: RNAcentral